This 594-nucleotide long non-coding RNA is filed under the name Prunus dulcis (almond). Its description in RNAcentral is "sRNA ncRNA". Lineage: Eukaryota; Viridiplantae; Streptophyta; Magnoliopsida; Rosales; Rosaceae. The record is from RNAcentral.
CUAAAUACUGAUGGGGUAUUUGUGAGAUCUAUUUUUUAAUUGAUGUGAGGUUCCACAUGGAUAAAAAACUAAUAAAAAUUGUAUUUUUUAAAUUAUUUUAAAAAAUUAAACAUAUUAAAUUAAAAUUAAGAAAUAAAAUAAAAACCCUACCCAGAUUCUCCCUUCCUCCCAAUUUCUUCCCUCCCCCCCAGAUUUUUUCCUCCACCCAAUUUCUGCAAAUUCCAGGAUAGCUUGCUCUGUUUUGGUCUUGGCAGCAACAUAUGAAGUUCCAAAUAUUUUAAGAGACCUAUGAAAUUCAAUAUCACUCCAUGAGCUCUCAUCCACCAAGUCUUGGCUGCUGCCACUGUAAGCCACAGUUGAUGCACUAGAAGUGUACACAACCUCUUCAGAGUCUUGGAAUUUAGGCAGGCUUUCAAUAUGCCCAGGGCUCCUUGGACAGCUUUUUUGGUCACUGCUUCUUCAUCAAGUUCUUUGAUAGGCAUGGGGUGAGCAACAUGGAAGACCCCUAUGAAUCCUUCAAUUGCUUCAUUGAACCAAGCCGACGAAAUCUGGGUGGUGGGGGAAGAAAUCGGGAGAGAGAGAAUCUGGGUAAGG